RNAcentral lists this ribosomal RNA (373 nucleotides) under uncultured bacterium. Its description in RNAcentral is "bacterial SSU rRNA". It matches the Rfam family "Bacterial small subunit ribosomal RNA", at positions 29 to 403 of the family's 1533-position model. The record is from RNAcentral.
AUUGAACGCUGGCGGCAUGCCUUACACAUGCAAGUCGAACGGUAACGCGGGGCAACCUGGCGACGAGUGGCGAACGGGUGAGUAAUGCAUCGGAACGUGCCCAGUAGUGGGGGAUAGCCCGGCGAAAGCCGGAUUAAUACCGCAUACGACCUACGGGUGAAAGCGGGGGACUCGCAAGAGCCUCGCGCUAUUGGAGCGGCCGAUGUCAGAUUAGGUAGUUGGUGGGGUAAAAGCCUACCAAGCCGACGAUCUGUAGCUGGUCUGAGAGGACGACCAGCCACACUGGGACUGAGACACGGCCCAGACUCCUACGGGAGGCAGCAGUGGGGAAUUUUGGACAAUGGGCGCAAGCCUGAUCCAGCCAUGCCGCGUG